This 303-nucleotide ribosomal RNA is filed under the name uncultured Fidelibacterota bacterium. RNAcentral describes it as "bacterial SSU rRNA". It matches the Rfam family "Bacterial small subunit ribosomal RNA", at positions 1080 to 1382 of the family's 1533-position model. Lineage: Bacteria; Pseudomonadati; Fidelibacterota. The record is from RNAcentral.
UUAAGUCCCGCAACGAGCGCAACCCCUUUCCUUAGUUGCCAUCAGGUAAUGCUGGGGACUCUAAGGAUACUGCCCCGGUUAACGGGGAGGAAGGUGGGGAUGACGUCAAGUCAGUAUGUCCCUUACGUCCAGGGCUACACACGUGUUACAAUGGCCGGUACAAUGAGUUGCGACCCUGCAAAGGUAAGCCAAUCUCAAAAAACCGGUCUCAGUUCGGAUUGCAGUCUGCAACUCGACUGCAUGAAGUUGGAAUCGCUAGUAAUCGUAGAUCAGCACGCUACGGUGAAUACGUUCCCGGGCCUU